AACGAACGCUGGCGGCAUGCCUAACACAUGCAAGUCGAACGAGACCUUCCGGUCUAGUGGCGCACGGGUGCGUAACGCGUGGGAAUCUGCCCUUGGGUUCGGAAUAACAGUGAGAAAUUACUGCUAAUACCGGAUGAUGUCUUCGGACCAAAAAUUUAUCGCCCCGGGAUAAACCCGCUUACGAUUAGGUAGGUGGUGCGGGAAUGGCCUACCCUGGCGACGAUCCUUAUGUGGCCUGAGAGGAUGAACAGCCACCCUGGGAGUGAGAAACAGCCCCCACUCCUACAGGGAGACACAGCGGGGAAUAUUGGACAAUGGGCCAAAGCCUGAUCCAGCACUGCCGCGUGAGUGAUGAACGCCCCUAGGGUUGUAAAGCUCUUUUGCCGGCGAUGAUGUUGACCCUUUCUGGAGAAUAAGCUCCGGCUAACUCCGUGCCAGCAGCCGCGGUAAUACCGAGGGAGCUAGCGUUGUUCUGAAUUACUGCGCGUAAAGCGCGCGUAGGUGGUUACUCAGCCAGAGGUGAAAGUCCGGGCUUCAAGCCGGAACUGCCUUUGAAUCUCACUAACUAGAAUCUUGCAGAGGUCAGUGGAAUUCGGAGUGUAGAGGUGGNAUUCUUUAUAUAUUCAGAAGAACACUGAAGUUCAUGGCGAUCGACUGGAUCAGUAUUGAUGCUGAGGUACUACCACGUGGGCAGCAAACUCGAUUACAUACCUUGUUCUCUAUGCCACUAAACUAUGAUAGCUAGCUGAUCAGACACUUGGCGCUUCGCUGCCUCAGCUAACGCAUUAGCUAUCCGCCUGGUGAGUCCGUUGCUACAUUAACUA
This 824-nucleotide ribosomal RNA is filed under the name uncultured bacterium. RNAcentral's name for it is "bacterial SSU rRNA". It matches the Rfam family "Bacterial small subunit ribosomal RNA", at positions 28 to 900 of the family's 1533-position model. The record is from RNAcentral.